GGAUGUAGAUGGCAACGUGGCUCUCAUUCCCCUCCCAAAUACCCCAACUUUCAUCGCCUGUUCCAGAAGCCUUGUCACCUACAAGCCUAUCUGCACAGAAGGACACAGAGAAUAAUAAUACUACUAAUAAUACUAAUGAUGAUGAAAGCAGCAACAGCAGCAACAUAUGGAAUGGCUGGUCAUCAACUCUGAAGCACCAGGGCCAUCCCUGAAAAAAAGGGCCUAUUACACACUGGGCACCCACAGCCACAGCCGUUCCUGCUGCCCCCACCCUGGCCUGAUCCUCCUUAUGUUGGAACCCUCAAGGGUGGUCCCAGGUUCACUAGAGGACACAGGGUCUCAGCUCCCAGAACUGCUUCUGCCCACUGUCCCCGGGACCCAGCCCUGCCUUUCUGCCUGUUGAAGAGCAG
This 410-nucleotide long non-coding RNA is filed under the name Homo sapiens (human). RNAcentral describes it as "HSALNT0103664". Lineage: Eukaryota; Metazoa; Chordata; Mammalia; Primates; Hominidae. The record is from RNAcentral.